This 32-nucleotide non-coding RNA is filed under the name Geobacter sulfurreducens KN400. The record is from RNAcentral. Lineage: Bacteria; Pseudomonadati; Thermodesulfobacteriota; Desulfuromonadia; Geobacterales; Geobacteraceae.
AAGUUGGCGCUUCCCCGGUGGGUGGUGAGCAC